ACUGCCCCUAGAGGCGCUGCAGGCGUGGCUGCCGUGUCACGUCUGCGUCAUGAGGUGGCAGAGAGGAAAGAGGCUCGGUCUACGCCCAGUGUUCUGGCCGGUGGACAUCUGGAUGAUUGAUAGUCUGACACUU
Molecule: small nucleolar RNA, 133 nt
Organism: Bison bison bison
Lineage: Eukaryota; Metazoa; Chordata; Mammalia; Artiodactyla; Bovidae
Source: Ensembl